ACCUGCGGAGGGAUCAUUACAAGUGACCCCGGUCUAACCACCGGGAUGUUCAUAACCCUUUGUUGUCCGACUCUGUUGCCUCCGGGGCGACCCUGCCUUCGGGCGGGGGCUCCGGGUGGACACUUCAAACUCUUGCGUAACUUUGCAGUCUGAGUAAACUUAAUUAAUAAAUUAAAACUUUUAACAACGGAUCUCUUGGUUCUGGCAUCGAUGAAGAACGCAGCGAAAUGCGAUAAGUAAUGUGAAUUGCAGAAUUCAGUGAAUCAUCGAAUCUUUGAACGCACAUUGCGCCCCCUGGUAUUCCGGGGGGCAUGCCUGUUCGAGCGUCAUUUCACCACUCAAGCCUCGCUUGGUAUUGGGCAUCGCGGUCCGCCGCGUGCCUCAAAUCGACCGGCUGGGUCUUCUGUCCCCUAAGCGUUGUGGAAACUAUUCGCUAAAGGGUGUUCGGGAGGCUACGCCGUAAAACAACCCCAUUUCUAAGGUUGACCUCGGAUCAGGUAGGGAUACCCGCUGAACUUAAGCAUAUCA
Molecule: ribosomal RNA, 528 nt
Filed under: Cladosporium silenes
Lineage: Eukaryota; Fungi; Ascomycota; Dothideomycetes; Cladosporiales; Cladosporiaceae
Description: eukaryotic LSU rRNA
Rfam family: 5.8S ribosomal RNA (bases 176-329)
Source: RNAcentral